Molecule: ribosomal RNA, 445 nt
Filed under: uncultured bacterium
Lineage: Bacteria
Description: partial 16S ribosomal RNA
Rfam family: Bacterial small subunit ribosomal RNA
Source: RNAcentral
GUGAGGAAUAUUGGUCAAUGGGCGGGAGCCUGAACCAGCCAAGUCGCGUGAAGGAAGAAGGAUCUAUGGUUCGUAAACUUCUUUUGCAGGGGAAUAAAGUGCAGGACGUGUCCUGUUUUGUAUGUACCCUGAGAAUAAGGAUCGGCUAACUCCGUGCCAGCAGCCGCGGUAAUACGGAGGAUCCGAGCGUUAUCCGGAUUUAUUGGGUUUAAAGGGUGCGUAGGUGGUUUGAUAAGUCAGCGGUGAAAGUUUGCAGCUUAACUGUAAAAAUGCCGUUGAAACUGUCGGACUUGAGUGUAAAUGAGGUAGGCGGAAUGCGUGGUGUAGCGGUGAAAUGCAUAGAUAUCACGCAGAACUCCGAUUGCGAAGGCAGCUUACUAAGCUACAACUGACACUGAAGCACGAAAGCGUGGGGAUCAAACAGGAUUAGAUACCUUGGUAGUCC